RNAcentral lists this ribosomal RNA (466 nucleotides) under uncultured bacterium. Its description in RNAcentral is "bacterial SSU rRNA". It matches the Rfam family "Bacterial small subunit ribosomal RNA", at positions 338 to 795 of the family's 1533-position model. The record is from RNAcentral.
CCUACGGGGGGCAGCAGUGGGGAAUAUUGGACAAUGGGCGGAAGCCUGAUCCAGCCAUGCCGCGUGUGUGAAGAAGGCCUUAUGGUUGUAAAGCACUUUAAGCGAGGAGGAGGCUACUUUAGUUAAUACCUAGAGAUAGUGGACGUUACUCGCAGAAUAAGCACCGGCUAACUCUGUGCCAGCAGCCGCGGUAAUACAGAGGGUGCAAGCGUUAAUCGGAUUUACUGGGCGUAAAGCGCGCGUAGGCGGCUAAUUAAGUCAAAUGUGAAAUCCCCGAGCUUAACUUGGGAAUUGCAUUCGAUACUGGUUAGCUAGAGUGUGGGAGAGGAUGGUAGAAUUCCAGGUGUAGCGGUGAAAUGCGUAGAGAUCUGGAGGAAUACCGAUGGCGAAGGCAGCCAUCUGGCCUAACACUGACGCUGAGGUGCGAAAGCAUGGGGAGCAAACAGGAUUAGAUACCCCAGUAGUC